Molecule: long non-coding RNA, 425 nt
Organism: Acanthopagrus latus (yellowfin seabream)
Lineage: Eukaryota; Metazoa; Chordata; Actinopteri; Spariformes; Sparidae
Exons: 3
Source: RefSeq, a predicted model, not a curated record
UGGACAUUAGCCAGACGAGCUGUAUGAGAGAGGCGGACUUAUUCUUGUGUGCUACACAUGAGAAAGGCCACGGUAAAGGUUUGGAGGUCAUGUGAAGAAUGCAUAUGGAAGUGGAUGCACUCAAAUUCAGAAACAUGCCACCUUGAACACCAGCAGCCGGUUCACUUGGAGCAUGAUGUCAGAAGAAAAUGGCCACCAUGUGAAUAGCCUGUGGUCUACAUGCUUGCUAACAAGCAAAAAAGCCAUGACAACCCACUUAUUGUUGUAAACAAGGUCAACGAGCCUCUUGAGACAAUGCCAGGAUGAUUACACUGAAGAAAGAAGGGAAAAAGGCCUCAGAAGAUUCUUCUGAAAUACUUUAUUAAAGGUAAGUCCAUGUUAUACACACACAAUAGAUCAGAGUGGAUCCAUCUAAAUAAGAUGUC